CUGCGCCAAUGGUACUGUGGCUCAAGCCCCGGAAGAGUAGGGCGUCGCCAGGC
This 53-nucleotide ribosomal RNA is filed under the name Sphingobium sp. YR768. Lineage: Bacteria; Pseudomonadati; Pseudomonadota; Alphaproteobacteria; Sphingomonadales; Sphingobiaceae. The record is from RNAcentral.